UACGAAGGGGGCUAGCGUUGUUCGGAAUUACUGGGCGUAAAGCGCACGUAGGCGGCUUUGUAAGUUAGAGGUGAAAGCCCGGGGCUCAACUCCGGAAUUGCCUUUAAGACUGCAUCGCUAGAAUUGUGGAGAGGUAAGUGGAAUUCCGAGUGUAGAGGUGAAAUUCGUAGAUAUUCGCAAGAACACCAGUGGCGAAGGCGGCUCACUGGCCCGAUACUGACGCUGAGGCACGAAAGCGUGGGGAGCAAACAGG
RNAcentral lists this ribosomal RNA (253 nucleotides) under uncultured bacterium. RNAcentral's name for it is "partial 16S ribosomal RNA". It matches the Rfam family "Bacterial small subunit ribosomal RNA", at positions 524 to 776 of the family's 1533-position model. The record is from RNAcentral.